Molecule: ribosomal RNA, 239 nt
Filed under: uncultured bacterium
Lineage: Bacteria
Description: partial 16S ribosomal RNA
Rfam family: Bacterial small subunit ribosomal RNA
Source: RNAcentral
CCGGCACGGGUGAGUAACACGUAUCCAACCUGCCGUCUACUCUUGGCCAGCCUUCUGAAAGGAAGAUUAAUCCAGGAUGGCAUCAUGAGUUCACAUGUCCGCAUGAUUAAAGGUAUUUUCCGGUAGACGAUGGGGAUGCGUUCCAUUAGAUGGUAGGCGGGGUAACGGCCCACCUAGUCAACGAUGGAUAGGGGUUCUGAGAGGAAGGUCCCCCACAUUGGAACUGAGACACGGUCCAA